GCAGUGGUGGUCCAGUGGUAGAAUCAUUGCCUUCCAUGCUGAAGAUCAAGGUUCGAUUCCUGGCCAGUGCA
This 71-nucleotide transfer RNA is filed under the name Loxodonta africana (African savanna elephant). It matches the Rfam family "tRNA". From Rfam's summary of the family: Transfer RNA (tRNA) molecules are approximately 80 nucleotides in length. Their secondary structure includes four short double-helical elements and three loops (D, anti-codon, and T loops). Lineage: Eukaryota; Metazoa; Chordata; Mammalia; Proboscidea; Elephantidae. The record is from Rfam by way of RNAcentral.